RNAcentral lists this ribosomal RNA (253 nucleotides) under uncultured bacterium. RNAcentral describes it as "partial 16S ribosomal RNA". It matches the Rfam family "Bacterial small subunit ribosomal RNA", at positions 524 to 776 of the family's 1533-position model. The record is from RNAcentral.
UACGUAGGGUGCAAGCGUUAAUCGGAAUUACUGGGCGUAAAGCGCACGUAGGCGGAUUUGUAAGUCAGGGGUGAAAUCCCGGGGCUCAACCUCGGAACUGCCUUUGAUACUGCAAAUCUCGAGUCCGGAAGAGGUGAGUGGAAUUCCUAGUGUAGAGGUGAAAUUCGUAGAUAUUAGGAAGAACACCAGUGGCGAAGGCGGCUCACUGGUCCGGUACUGACGCUGAGGUGCGAAAGCGUGGGGAGCAAACAGG